Molecule: ribosomal RNA, 377 nt
Filed under: uncultured bacterium
Lineage: Bacteria
Description: bacterial SSU rRNA
Rfam family: Bacterial small subunit ribosomal RNA
Source: RNAcentral
AUACGUAGGAUGCGAGCGUUGUCCGGAUUUAUUGGGCGUAAAGAGCGCGCAGGUGGUUAGAUAAGUUGGGUGUGAAAUCCCCUGGCUUAACCAGGGUAGGUCAUCCAAAACUGUCUAGCUUGAGGGCAGCAGAGGAAAGUGGAAUUCCCGGUGUAGUGGUGAAAUGCGUAGAUAUCGGGAGGAACACCAGUGGCGAAGGCGGCUUUCUGGGCUGUCACUGACGCUGAGGCGCGAAAGCGUGGGGAGCGAACCGAAUUAGAUACUCGGGUAGUCCACGCCGUAAACGAUGGACACUAGGUGUAGGGGGUAUCGACCCCUCCAGUGCCGAAGCUAACGCAUUAAGUGUCCCGCCUGGGGAGUACGGCCGCAAGGCUAAA